Molecule: ribosomal RNA, 422 nt
Filed under: uncultured bacterium
Lineage: Bacteria
Description: partial 16S ribosomal RNA
Rfam family: Bacterial small subunit ribosomal RNA
Source: RNAcentral
AAUUUUGGACAAUGGGGGAAACCCUGAUCCAGCCAUCCCGCGUGUAUGAUGAAGGCCUUCGCGUUGUAUAGUACUCUUGGCAGAGAAGAAAAGGUACCUCCUAAUACGAGGUACUGCUGACGGUAUCUGCAGACUAAGCACCGGCUAACUACGUGCCAGCAGCCGCGGUAAUACGUAGGGUGCAAGCGUUAAUCGGAAUUACUGGGGGUAAGGCGUGUGAAGGCGGUUUAGAAAGCAAGAUGUGAAGUCCCAGGGCUCAACCUUGGAACUGAUUUGUUAACUGACGAGCUAGGGGAUGGCAGAGGGAGGGAAAAUUCCAGGUUUAGCAGUGAAAUGCGUGAAAAUAUGGAGAAAUACAGAUGCGAAAGGCAGCCCCCUGGGGAAAUCCGAACGCUCAGACCCAAAGGCGUGGGGGGAAAACA